GCCGCUAUCGUCUAGGGGUUAGGACGUCGCCCUCUCACGGCGAAAACAUGGGUUCAAUUCCCGUUAGCGGUA
RNAcentral lists this transfer RNA (72 nucleotides) under Rhodospirillaceae bacterium. Its description in RNAcentral is "tRNA-Glu". It matches the Rfam family "tRNA". Rfam says of the family: Transfer RNA (tRNA) molecules are approximately 80 nucleotides in length. The record is from RNAcentral. Lineage: Bacteria; Pseudomonadati; Pseudomonadota; Alphaproteobacteria; Rhodospirillales; Rhodospirillaceae. RNAcentral also lists the same sequence under 2 other names.